This 491-nucleotide ribosomal RNA is filed under the name uncultured bacterium. RNAcentral describes it as "partial 16S ribosomal RNA". It matches the Rfam family "Bacterial small subunit ribosomal RNA", at positions 30 to 506 of the family's 1533-position model. The record is from RNAcentral.
AUUGAACGCUGGCGGCAUGCUUUACACAUGCAAGUCGAACGGUAACAGGCCUUCGGGUGCUGACGAGUGGCGAACGGGUGAGUAAUGCAUCGGAACGUGCCCAGAGGUGGGGGAUAACGCAGCGAAAGCUGUGCUAAUACCGCAUGUGAUCUGAGGAUGAAAGCGGGGGACCAGGCAGCAAUGUUUGGCCUCGCGCCUUUGGAGCGGCCGAUGUCAGAUUAGGUAGUUGGUGGGGUAAAGGCCUACCAAGCCGACGAUCUGUAGCUGGUCUGAGAGGACGACCAGCCACACUGGGACUGAGACACGGCCCAGACUCCUACGGGAGGCAGCAGUGGGGAAUUUUGGACAAUGGGCGCAAGCCUGAUCCAGCAAUGCCGCGUGCGGGAAGAAGGCCUUCGGGUUGUAAACCGCUUUUGUACGGAACGAAAAGGCUCUGGCUAAUACCUGGGGCUGAUGACGGUACCGUAAGAAUAAGCACCGGCUAACUACGC